UACGUAGGUGGCAAGCGUUGUCCGGAAUCAUUGGGCGUAAAGGGCGCGUAGGUGGCCCGGUCAGCGUGCGGUGAAAGCUCGGGGCUCAACCCCGAGUCGGCCGUGCGAACUGCUGGGCUGGAGCACUGUAGAGGCAGGCGGAAUUCCGGGUGUAGCGGUGGAAUGCGUAGAGAUCCGGAAGAACACCGGUGGCGAAGGCGGCCUGCUGGGCAGUGGCUGACACUGAGGCGCGACAGCGUGGGGAGCAAACAGG
Molecule: ribosomal RNA, 253 nt
Filed under: uncultured bacterium
Lineage: Bacteria
Description: partial 16S ribosomal RNA
Rfam family: Bacterial small subunit ribosomal RNA
Source: RNAcentral